AGGGUUUGAUUAUGGCUCAGGAUGAACGCUGGCGGCGUGCCUAACACAUGCAAGUCGAGCGAAGCAGUUCGGAGGAAGUUUUCGGAUGGAAUCUGAGCUGACUGAGCGGCGGACGGGUGAGUAACGCGUGGGUAACCUGCCUCAUACAGGGGGAUAACAGCUAGAAAUGGCUGCUAAUACCGCAUAAGCGCACGGUAUCGCAUGAUACAGUGUGAAAAGCCGAGACGGUAUGAGAUGGACCCGCGUCUGAUUAGCUAGUUGGUGGGGUAACGGCCCACCAAGGCGACGAUCAGUAGCCGACCUGAGAGGGUGACCGGCCACAUUGGGACUGAGACACGGCCCAA
Molecule: ribosomal RNA, 344 nt
Filed under: uncultured bacterium
Lineage: Bacteria
Description: bacterial SSU rRNA
Rfam family: Bacterial small subunit ribosomal RNA
Source: RNAcentral